RNAcentral lists this ribosomal RNA (788 nucleotides) under uncultured euryarchaeote. Its description in RNAcentral is "bacterial SSU rRNA". It matches the Rfam family "Archaeal small subunit ribosomal RNA", at positions 85 to 876 of the family's 1478-position model. The record is from RNAcentral. Lineage: Archaea; Methanobacteriati; Methanobacteriota.
ACGGCUCAGUAACACGUAGGUAACCUACCCUUCGGACGGGCACAACCCCGGGAAACUGGGGCUAAUUCCCGAUAGGUACCCCCUUCUGGAAUGUGGGGAUAUCCAAAGCUCCGGCGCCGGAGGAUGGGCCUGCGGCCGAUUAGGUUGUUGGCGGGGUAACAGCCCACCAAGCCGACGAUCGGUACGGGCAGUGAGAGCUGUAGCCCGGAGAUGGGGACUGAGACAAGGCCCCAGGCCCUACGGGGCGCAGCAGGCGCGAAACCUUCACAAUGCACGAAAGUGUGAUGAGGGUACUCCGAGUGCGCAUACAUUGUAUGUGCUUUUCUGCAGCGUAAAUAGUUGCAGGAAUAAGGGCUGGGCAAGACCGGUGCCAGCCGCCGCGGUAACACCGGCAGCCCUAGUGGUGGCCGCUUUUAUUGGGCCUAAAGCGUCCGUAGCCGGACAGGCGAGUCUUUGGGUAAAUCCUACGUCUUAAGCGUGGGAAUUCUAAAGAUACUACCUGUCUUGAGGCCGGGAGAGGCUGGAGGUACUCCUGGGGUAGGGGUAAAAUCCUAUAAUCCUGGGGGGACCACCGAUGGCGAAGGCAUCCAGCUGGAACGGGCCUGACGGUGAGGGACGAAACCCAGGGGAGCGAGCCGGAUUAGAUACCCGGGUAGUCCUGGGCGUAAAUGAUGUGGGCUUGGUGUGAGCGCAUCGACGAGGUGCGCUUGUGCCGUAGGGAAGCCGUUAAGCCCACCGCCUGGGGAGUACGGUCGCAAGGCUGAAACUUAAAGGAAUUGGCGGGGGAG